RNAcentral lists this non-coding RNA (253 nucleotides) under Lactiplantibacillus plantarum. RNAcentral describes it as "Lactobacillus plantarum T-box". It matches the Rfam family "T-box leader". From Rfam's summary of the family: Uncharged tRNA acts as the effector for transcription antitermination of genes in the T-box leader family. T-boxes are found upstream of many aminoacyl-tRNA synthetase genes and some amino acid biosynthetic genes usually in Gram-positive bacteria. The record is from RNAcentral. Lineage: Bacteria; Bacillati; Bacillota; Bacilli; Lactobacillales; Lactobacillaceae.
UAAAAAACGGAGGAAAGAGGAGUACGAUUAGUCAACCUGCCAGUGAAUCGGGAGUGAGUGGAAACCCGACCAGAACUUGACUAAUCCGAAAAACACUUUCUUAGUUGCUAACUGAAAUAACCUCGUUAAAGUAGGAUUAGCCGUUAACCGGUACGUUACCAUCGGUGGUGUAUGUUUGUACACUAUUUUAAAGCUGGUUUACUGUAAGGUAAACAACUUGGGUGGUACCGCGAAAGAGUCUUUCGUCCCUUGA